ACUUAGUGGCAGACGGGUGAGUAACAUGUGGGUAUCUACCCUUUGGCCUGGAAUAACACGAGGAAACUUGUGCUAAUACCGGAUAAGUCUUUACGGAGAAAGCUUUAUGCACCAUUGGAUGAGCCCGCACUUGAUUAGUUUGUUGGUAGGGUAAUGGCCUACCAAGACUAUGAUCAAUAGCUGAUUUGAGAGGAUGAUCAGCCACAUUGGGACUGAGACACGGCCCAAACUCCUACGGGAGGCAGCAGUGGGGAAUCUUGCACAAUGGAGGAAACUCUGAUGCAGCGAUGCCGCGUGAGUGAAGAAGGCCCUUGGGUUGUAAAGCUCUUUCGUCGGGGAAGAAAAUGACUGUACCCGAAUAAGAAGGUCCGGCUAACUUCGUGCCAGCAGCCGCGGUAAUACGAAGGGACCUAGCGUAGUUCGGAAUUACUGGGCUUAAAGAGUUCGUAGGUGGUUGAAAAAGUUGGUGGUGAAAUCCCAGAGCUUAACUCUGGAACUGCCAUCAA
This 506-nucleotide ribosomal RNA is filed under the name uncultured Pelagibacterales bacterium. RNAcentral's name for it is "bacterial SSU rRNA". It matches the Rfam family "Bacterial small subunit ribosomal RNA", at positions 90 to 630 of the family's 1533-position model. The record is from RNAcentral. Lineage: Bacteria; Pseudomonadati; Pseudomonadota; Alphaproteobacteria; Candidatus Pelagibacterales.